Molecule: small RNA, 71 nt
Filed under: bovine gut metagenome
Description: Gut-1 RNA
Rfam family: Gut-1 RNA
Source: RNAcentral
AGUGAAAUUCCGCCUUCGGCGGAGUGAAAUACCGCUUCGCAGAGUGAAAUACCGCUUCGCGGUGUGAAAUU